Molecule: ribosomal RNA, 200 nt
Filed under: uncultured bacterium
Lineage: Bacteria
Description: partial 16S ribosomal RNA
Rfam family: Bacterial small subunit ribosomal RNA
Source: RNAcentral
AUUGAACGCUGGCGGCAGGCCUAACACAUGCAAGUCGAGCGUGAAAGUUCUUCGGAAUGAGUAAAGCGGCGGACGGGUGAGUAAUACAUGGGAAUCUGCCUGGUAGUGGGGGACAACGUUUCGAAAGGAACGCUAAUACCGCAUACGCCCUACGGGGAAAGGGGGGGAGUCUUCGGACCUCUCGCUAUCAGAUGAGCCCA